This 1124-nucleotide ribosomal RNA is filed under the name Staphylococcus aureus M79654. RNAcentral describes it as "bacterial SSU rRNA". It matches the Rfam family "Bacterial small subunit ribosomal RNA", at positions 8 to 1111 of the family's 1533-position model. Lineage: Bacteria; Bacillati; Bacillota; Bacilli; Caryophanales; Staphylococcaceae. The record is from RNAcentral.
AGAGUUUGAUCCUGGCUCAGGAUGAACGCUGGCGGCGUGCCUAAUACAUGCAAGUCGAGCGAACGGACGAGAAGCUUGCUUCUCUGAUGUUAGCGGCGGACGGGUGAGUAACACGUGGAUAACCUACCUAUAAGACUGGGAUAACUUCGGGAAACCGGAGCUAAUACCGGAUAAUAUUUUGAACCGCAUGGUUCAAAAGUGAAAGACGGUCUUGCUGUCACUUAUAGAUGGAUCCGCGCUGCAUUAGCUAGUUGGUAAGGUAACGGCUUACCAAGGCAACGAUGCAUAGCCGACCUGAGAGGGUGAUCGGCCACACUGGAACUGAGACACGGUCCAGACUCCUACGGGAGGCAGCAGUAGGGAAUCUUCCGCAAUGGGCGAAAGCCUGACGGAGCAACGCCGCGUGAGUGAUGAAGGUCUUCGGAUCGUAAAACUCUGUUAUUAGGGAAGAACAUAUGUGUAAGUAACUGUGCACAUCUUGACGGUACCUAAUCAGAAAGCCACGGCUAACUACGUGCCAGCAGCCGCGGUAAUACGUAGGUGGCAAGCGUUAUCCGGAAUUAUUGGGCGUAAAGCGCGCGUAGGCGGUUUUUUAAGUCUGAUGUGAAAGCCCACGGCUCAACCGUGGAGGGUCAUUGGAAACUGGAAAACUUGAGUGCAGAAGAGGAAAGUGGAAUUCCAUGUGUAGCGGUGAAAUGCGCAGAGAUAUGGAGGAACACCAGUGGCGAAGGCGACUUUCUGGUCUGUAACUGACGCUGAUGUGCGAAAGCGUGGGGAUCAAACAGGAUUAGAUACCCUGGUAGUCCACGCCGUAAACGAUGAGUGCUAAGUGUUAGGGGGUUUCCGCCCCUUAGUGCUGCAGCUAACGCAUUAAGCACUCCGCCUGGGGAGUACGACCGCAAGGUUGAAAUUCAAAGGAAUUGACGGGGACCCGCACAAGCGGUGGAGCAUGUGGUUUAAUUCGAAGCAACGCGAAGAACCUUACCAAAUCUUGACAUCCUUUGACAACUCUAGAGAUAGAGCCUUCCUCUUCGGGGGACAAAGUGACAGGUGGUGCAUGGUUGUCGUCAGCUCGUGUCGUGAGAUGUUGGGUUAAGUCCCGCAACGAGCGCAACCCUUAAGCU